GUGCUCGCUUCAGCAGCACAGAAACGAAAAUUGGAACGAUGCGAAGAAGAUUAGCAUGGCCCCUGUGCAAGGAUGACAUGCAAAUUCGUGAAGAGUUCCAUAUUUUU
This 107-nucleotide small nuclear RNA is filed under the name Ochotona princeps (American pika). Lineage: Eukaryota; Metazoa; Chordata; Mammalia; Lagomorpha; Ochotonidae. The record is from RNAcentral.